CCUACGGGAGGCAGCAGUGGGGAAGAUUGCGCAAUGGGCGAAAGCCUGACGCAGCGACGCCGCGUGAGGGAUGAAGGUCUUCGGAUCGUAAACCUCUGUCAGCAGGGAAGAACGGUCACUGUGCUAAUCAGCAGUGAAUUGACGGUACCUGCAAAGGAAGCACCGGCUAACUCCGUGCCAGCAGCCGCGGUAAUACGGAGGGUGCGAGCGUUAAUCGGAAUUACUGGGCGUAAAGCGAGCGUAGGCGGUAUGUCAAGUCAAGGGUGAAAUCCCCGCGCUCAACGUGGGAACUGCCUUUGAAACUGGCAACCUGGAGUUUGUGAGAGGAUAGUUGAAUUCCAGGUGUAGGCGU
This 352-nucleotide ribosomal RNA is filed under the name uncultured bacterium. Its description in RNAcentral is "partial 16S ribosomal RNA". It matches the Rfam family "Bacterial small subunit ribosomal RNA", at positions 338 to 682 of the family's 1533-position model. The record is from RNAcentral.